RNAcentral lists this long non-coding RNA (268 nucleotides) under Brassica napus (rape). RNAcentral describes it as "long non-coding RNA (BNAP_LNC022082)". Lineage: Eukaryota; Viridiplantae; Streptophyta; Magnoliopsida; Brassicales; Brassicaceae. The record is from RNAcentral.
AAUCAAGUACCCACUCGUGUUUAGUAGCUUUCUGGCUAGCCACUAAUACCAAUGGUUCCUCAUUCUCUUCUGCUAUGUUGACCGAAUUUGAUGGCUUCUGAUUUUUUCUUUCUAGACACUCCCUUUUAAAGUGUCCUUCCUUGCCACACGUCCAACAUUCUUUAGAGAACUUAGGUCUUGAUUUUGAUCUGUUUUUGCUCUUAGAUAUAGCUCUCCAAGUCUUGUCGUUCUUCUUCUCACCUAUGCCUCUAUUGUCGCUAGCAAACAG